UGGGGAAUAUUGGACAAUGGGGGCAACCCUGAUCCAGCCAUGCCGCGUGUGUGAAGAAGGCCUUAGGGUUGUAAAGCACUUUCAGUGGGGAGAAAGGUGAUUCACCUAAUACGUGAGUUCAUUGAUGCUACCCACAGAAGAAGCACCGGCUAACUCCGUGCCAGCAGCCGCGGUAAUACGGAGGGUGCAAGCGUUAAUCGGAAUUACUGGGCGUAAAGCGCACGUAGGUGGUUUGUUAAGCUAGCUGUGAAAUCCCCGGGCUCAACCUGGGCACUGCAGUUAGAACUGGCAAGCUAGAGUAGGGUAGAGGGGUGUGGAAUUCCAGGUGUAGCGGUGAAAUGCGUAGAUAUCUGGAGGAACAUCAGUGGCGAAGGCGACACCCUGGACUCAUACUGACACUGAGGUGCGAAAGCGUGGGGAGCAAA
RNAcentral lists this ribosomal RNA (425 nucleotides) under uncultured bacterium. RNAcentral describes it as "bacterial SSU rRNA". It matches the Rfam family "Bacterial small subunit ribosomal RNA", at positions 355 to 772 of the family's 1533-position model. The record is from RNAcentral.